ACGAGUUUGGUCGGUUAGGCUUCCUCUGAGAGCGAUCAAUCCCUUCAGGGUUAUCGUACCUUGUGAAUUUUUUUUCAUUACGUUAGCAUUUGACUUCCGGCCGAAACGCGGGGCGUUGUUAUGGAACGUGAUAA
This 134-nucleotide unclassified non-coding RNA is filed under the name soil metagenome. RNAcentral describes it as "partial internal transcribed spacer 1". The record is from RNAcentral.